AAACACAAUCACCAUACAAUUACAUAAGAUAAUGACUAUCUAUACAAAUAAUAAAUAUCCUCUAAAUAUAUCGGCUAAGAAACUGACUCUGCUUACGAGACAUGAUCAGAAAUCGACGCAAUCGUUCUACAAUGGAUCUACGGAACAUUGUCUGACGACCUACUGGUAACCAGUGACUCAGGAGCUCGCAGCUUGGGAACGUGUAGUGGUCGUUAAAACCCGCGUGUUGGGUUUUAAUUAUCUUGAACUAUGAACCUGUCUUUAAAACUAUUUGGAUUAUGCUUCCGCUGUUUAUCUAAACUGAUUAUCGAACUUAAACUGUGAUGUUUACUAACUACUUUGGUUGGUGAAUAAUUUUGCCAUUAAUCAAUGCUCAGUAUAAUUGGUGGCUGGAUCCUGGUCAGUCACGCCCUCAAGCGGAUGAUACUCCGCAG
RNAcentral lists this long non-coding RNA (434 nucleotides) under Helianthus annuus (common sunflower). The record is from RNAcentral. Lineage: Eukaryota; Viridiplantae; Streptophyta; Magnoliopsida; Asterales; Asteraceae.